GAGGAAUAUUGGUCAAUGGGUGCAAGCCUGAACCAGCCAUCCCGCGUGAAGGACGACUGCCCUAUGGGUUGUAAACUUCUUUUGUAUAGGGAUAAACCUACCCUCGUGAGGGUAGCUGAAGGUACUAUACGAAUAAGCACCGGCUAACUCCGUGCCAGCAGCCGCGGUAAUACGGAGGGUGCAAGCGUUAUCCGGAUUUAUUGGGUUUAAAGGGUCCGUAGGCGGACUUAUAAGUCAGUGGUGAAAGCCUGUCGCUUAACGAUAGAACUGCCAUUGAUACUGUAAGUCUUGAGUAUAUUUGAGGUAGCUGGAAUAAGUAGUGUAGCGGUGAAAUGCAUAGAUAUUACUUAGAACACCAAUUGCGAAGGCAGGUUACCAAGAUAUAACUGACGCUGAGGGACGAAAGCGUGGGGAGCGAAC
Molecule: ribosomal RNA, 420 nt
Filed under: uncultured bacterium
Lineage: Bacteria
Also listed under: 1 other name
Description: bacterial SSU rRNA
Rfam family: Bacterial small subunit ribosomal RNA
Source: RNAcentral